This 521-nucleotide ribosomal RNA is filed under the name uncultured Glomeraceae. RNAcentral describes it as "SSU rRNA". It matches the Rfam family "Eukaryotic small subunit ribosomal RNA", at positions 569 to 1092 of the family's 1831-position model. Lineage: Eukaryota; Fungi; Glomeromycota; Glomeromycetes; Glomerales; Glomeraceae. The record is from RNAcentral.
AGCAGCCGCGGUAAUUCCAGCUCCAAUAGCGUAUAUUAAAGUUGUUGCAGUUAAAAAGCUCGUAGUUGAAUUUCGGGAUCAAUACGUCGGUCGUGCUUCGGUACGUACUGGCGUCAUUGGUUUCUCCCUUCUGACGAACCAUGAUGUCAUUAAUUUGGUGUUAUGGGAAAUCAGGACUGUUACUUUGAAAAAAUUAGAGUGUUUAAAGCAGGCUCACGCUUGAAUACAUUAGCAUGGAAUAAUGAAAUAGGACGUUCGAUCCUAUUUUGUUGGUUUCUAGGAUCAACGUAAUGAUUAAUAGGGAUAGUUGGGGGCAUUAGUAUUCAAUUGUCAGAGGUGAAAUUCUUGGAUUUAUUGAAGACUAACUACUGCGAAAGCAUUUGCCAAGGAUGUUUUCAUUAAUCAAGAACGAAAGUUAGGGGAUCGAAGACGAUCAGAUACCGUCGUAGUCUUAACCAUAAACUAUGCCGACUAGGGAUCGGAUGAUGUUAAUUAUUUAAUGACUCAUUCGGCGCCUUACG